RNAcentral lists this small nuclear RNA (69 nucleotides) under Fukomys damarensis (Damara mole-rat). RNAcentral's name for it is "U4 spliceosomal RNA". It matches the Rfam family "U4 spliceosomal RNA", at positions 1 to 69 of the family's 138-position model. Rfam says of the family: U4 small nuclear RNA (U4 snRNA) is a component of the major U2-dependent spliceosome. The record is from Rfam by way of RNAcentral. Lineage: Eukaryota; Metazoa; Chordata; Mammalia; Rodentia; Bathyergidae.
AGCUUUGCGCAGUGGCAGUAUCAUAGCCAAUGAGGUUUAUCCGAGGCGUGAUUAUUGCUAAUUGAGAAG